Molecule: long non-coding RNA, 828 nt
Filed under: Felis catus (domestic cat)
Lineage: Eukaryota; Metazoa; Chordata; Mammalia; Carnivora; Felidae
Description: lncRNA (ENSFCAG00000051184.1)
Source: RNAcentral
AUUUGGCUCAGCUUAGCCUCUGGAUUGACUCAGUCUCUCUCAAGUCCCCAAAAGAGGUACCAGGAGCUCACUAUCGCUUGAAACCAACAUAGCCUUCUAUGUCUACCACUUCAGCAGGUAUGGUCAAGGAUACUGGUGGAAACUCAAAAGGGGAUUUUCUGCCGAUCCCAAAUAAUGUCUGCCAAAAACAACAGCAACAAUAAAACAUCAAGGAAGAUGACUUCAGCUUACCUAACCUAACUUUAGCACCUUAAUAUCACAAUAGGGAAGUUAAAUAUAUUUUAAGAAAUGUAUUGCUUUGUUUCCUUUUCCACUUAUUUUCACUUGUAUAUUUAGGAUUAUUUCCAUUGCAAAUUAUUGAAGCCCCAAUUCAAAUUUGCUUAAGCAAAAAAAGGAAAGAAAAGAAGAGAAAAGAAAAGAAAAGAAAAGAAAAGAAAAGAAAAGAAAAGAAAAGAAAAGAAAAGAAAAGAAAAAAGAAAUCUGGCUCGCAUAAUUGCAUAAGACAGAGAAAGCCUUGCCAAGUUUAUGAGCCAAGAAAUAGCUGAAUUAUAAUGGCUGGAACUUCAAAGAGAAAGAAGAGUGAAAGUGAAAUGGUGGCUGCCUUCUGUGACAAGACUCUGCCACUCCACAGAAGCUCCUGAUGUCUGGGGGAACAGCACUGACGGUGUCUGCAAGGCCAGCAGCCUCACUGCCAUGGUUCCAAGUGUGAACAGACCCGGCAGUAACAUCCAUUCCACAUGGAUCAGGUAAGCCCAGAUUACAUUUCAACAUGUGUACAACUCUCCAGGGUGCAAGUGCCUUUACAGCUGCCUUUCAUUCACAUAUUUU